Hypoxylon sp. FL1284 is the source of this 89-nucleotide non-coding RNA. The record is from the annotation of a GenBank genome assembly. Lineage: Eukaryota; Fungi; Ascomycota; Sordariomycetes; Xylariales; Hypoxylaceae.
GGUGGUUUCGUAUAGUGGUUAGUACAACACGUUGUGGUCAUUCCAAAUCAUAAACCGUGUAAACCUGGGUUCGAUUCCCAGAACUGCCA